Molecule: long non-coding RNA, 255 nt
Filed under: Elaeis guineensis (African oil palm)
Lineage: Eukaryota; Viridiplantae; Streptophyta; Magnoliopsida; Arecales; Arecaceae
Description: long non-coding RNA (EGUI_LNC027145)
Source: RNAcentral
AACUCAAACAAGAGAAAGCACCCCAAUUCUAUAUUGCUCUCUCUUUUUCUCUCUACCACUCUCUUUGCUACCUAUCUUCCUGUUGAAUGUUGAUAUUCUUGGGUAUCUUUAAAAGCCAUGGAGAAAAGAAGAAUAUGAUCCAUUUGUGCAAAUCUUUAGACCAGCUUCUCACUUAAAUACGAGAUGCUGCGGUCCGACUUUGUAUUCCUCUUUAUCCACAUAUUGUCAUGACAUAGACAUGUGCAUAUAUUAUCC